Small nuclear RNA from Dermacentor albipictus, 183 nucleotides. RefSeq annotates it as U2 spliceosomal RNA. NCBI's taxonomy places the organism in Eukaryota, Metazoa, Arthropoda, Arachnida, Ixodida, Ixodidae. The record is from RefSeq and is a predicted model, not a curated record.
AUUCUAGUACAUUUUGGUCUAGUAUCUGUUCUUAUGAGCUUAAAUUAAUGUCUGACAGGUUCUAUUUGGACCCAGGCUAUUAAACUCAUUUUUGUAAUUUGGCGGAGUGUUUAAGCCCAGCUGCUUCACUUCCGCUGCGGGUCGGCCCGUUAUUGCACUAUCUCCUGGAUCGGCCCACGGGCU